UACAGAGGUCUCAAGCGUUGUUCGGAUUCAUUGGGCGUAAAGGGCGUGUAGGCGGUCAGGUAAGUGGGAUGUGAAAUGCCCCGGCUCACCCGGGGACCGGCAUCCCAUACUGCUUGGCUUGAGUACGGGAGAGGAUGUGGGAAUUCCUGGUGUAGCGGUGAAAUGCGUAGAUAUCAGGAGGAACACCGGUGGCGAAGGCGCACAUCUGGCCCGAUACUGACGCUGAGGCGCGAAAGCUAGGGGAGCAAACGGG
Molecule: ribosomal RNA, 253 nt
Filed under: uncultured bacterium
Lineage: Bacteria
Description: partial 16S ribosomal RNA
Rfam family: Bacterial small subunit ribosomal RNA
Source: RNAcentral